CCCUUAGAUGUUCUGGGCUGCACGCGCGCUACACUGAAGCGUUCAACGAGUAUUCACCUUGCCCGGGAGGGUUGGGUAAUCUUUUGAAAACGCUUCGUGAUGGGGAUAGAUUAUUGCAAUUAUUAAUCUUCAACGAGGAAUGCCUAGUAGGCGCAAGUCAUCAGCUUGCGUCGAUUACGUCCCUGCCCUUUGUACACACCGCCCGUCGCUCCUACCGAUUGGGUGUGCUGGUGAAAUGUUCGGAUCGGCCGUUUGUCGCGGUUUCCGCGGCUCGUGGCUGAGAAGUUCAUUAAACCCUCCCACCUAGAGGAAGGAGAAGUCGUAACA
RNAcentral lists this ribosomal RNA (327 nucleotides) under uncultured eukaryote. Its description in RNAcentral is "partial 18S ribosomal RNA". It matches the Rfam family "Eukaryotic small subunit ribosomal RNA", at positions 1470 to 1796 of the family's 1831-position model. The record is from RNAcentral.